UACGGGGGGAGCAAGCGUUGUUCGGAUUUACUGGGCGUAAAGGGCGGGUAGGCGGCCACCGCAAGUCAGUUGUGAAAUCUCCGGGCUUAACCCGGAAAGGUCAACUGAUACUGCGGGGCUAGAGUGCAGAAGGGGCAACUGGAAUUCUCGGUGUAGCGGUGAAAUGCGUAGAUAUCUGGAGGAACACCGGUGGCGAAGGCGGCGUCCUGGACCAAUACUGACACUGAAACGCGAAAGCCAGGGGAGCAAACGGG
RNAcentral lists this ribosomal RNA (254 nucleotides) under uncultured bacterium. RNAcentral describes it as "partial 16S ribosomal RNA". It matches the Rfam family "Bacterial small subunit ribosomal RNA", at positions 524 to 776 of the family's 1533-position model. The record is from RNAcentral.